GCUGACGUCCACGGAUCCCUGCGACGAGUUCCGGCCAAUGGUCACCGACCUUUUCUUCAUCAAAUACUCGAAUUCUCGGCCCUCCAGCCGGGCUACAGCCGACCCCGACAUCCCGCUUACCACCGCCAUCUUCUGAGCUCGGCAAGGAACGUGCCACACCGGGGUUACGGCGGCUCCGACCCACCGCCGCGAAGGAGAGGAAAAAAUAAGCAUCUGGUCCAAUCAAAAGUGGACAAACGGGCGGAAGUGCAGUGAUGGACGUCCGUUUCAACCAAUGACAAGCGAGUCUGUGUCGGCAUUGCCGCAGUGUUUACCAAUUGCAACCAUAAUAAAAAUAGCCGAAGCAAUGCGUGGUAGGUUGCGUUGCACGCUGACACGCAGAUGAAUGGAAAGAUAGAAGACUCGGCACAGUGGAUUCAUGGAUUGGAUUGGAACCCUUUGUUUUCUGUAUGCCUGGCAUAUCGGUAGAACUGAAAAGGAGGAAUAUGGCAAAAACUCUACAGCAAAUAUAACACAAGACUCAUUAACCUCUUGAAUAAAUUCGGUCAUUGCUUUCACUGAGUUAUACAGUAUUUGUUGUUCUAACUGCAAAUACUUUGUUACUGUAAUCAAUAAAACAAACGUUUUUG
This is a long non-coding RNA of Syngnathus acus (greater pipefish), 629 nucleotides long. RefSeq lists it as uncharacterized. The record is from RefSeq and is a predicted model, not a curated record. NCBI's taxonomy places the organism in Eukaryota, Metazoa, Chordata, Actinopteri, Syngnathiformes, Syngnathidae. The transcript is spliced from 2 exons.